This 2721-nucleotide long non-coding RNA is filed under the name Cucumis sativus (cucumber). RNAcentral's name for it is "long non-coding RNA (CSAT_LNC002400)". Lineage: Eukaryota; Viridiplantae; Streptophyta; Magnoliopsida; Cucurbitales; Cucurbitaceae. The record is from RNAcentral.
AAAGUUAAGCGUGCUUAGCUAGGAGUAAUUCUAUGUUGGAUGACCACCUGGUAAUUUUUUUAGGAUACAUAUGAGUGAGGACAAAGCAUGCUGAAAGGACUCGUGUUGGUUUGUGAGGAGAAGUUUCACUCUAAUAAGCCUUAAAGAAUAGUAAGGAUGAGGUUGCGAGGUUGCUUGGGAUGUAGGAGAAUGUCGGAGAUCUAAAUUCCAAAUUCUAGUUUGAAUCCUAGGCCUAGGGCGUUACAAAGAGAUUAGAUUAGAACCGAGUAAAGCAAUGAAUUCAGAGGUUGAACGUCGAUUAGAAGUAUCACUGGCCUAAACAGAGUCAUAAAAGGUCUGUAGAAAGAAUGACGUUUGUGGAAAUUUAUUCUAAGGGUUGGAGUACCACAUAGAUAUUUAAGGAUGCGCGUGUUUGACUGCCAAGAAGUGAAUUAUAGUUGGUUUAUGCAUGAAUUGACUGACACGAUAAUAUACCGAGAAUGCAACAUCAGGAUGAGUAAAGGUAAGGUAUUGCAAGGAACCAACUAGUCUGCUAUAUAAGGAUAGAUCAAUAAAUGAUGGUGCAAUGGUGUAAAGAUCAAGAGAAGUAGACAUUGGCGUGACAGGAGGUUUUUCAAAGGUCAUUCCCGAUGUAUGAAGAAGGUCAUUGAGAUAUUUGACUUGGUUAAUGAAAAUUCCAUUACUGGAGGAAUGUAUUUCAAGACCAAGAAAGUACUUUAAACGACCAAGAUCAAAUAUUUUUAAUUCAAAAGGGCCAAUUGGUUUUUUAGAAGAGAUAUAUAUGAAGAAUGAGGACCAAUGAUAAUGAUGUCAUCUACAUACAAAAGUAAGUAAAGUGUGAGAAGAUUUGACUAAUGAAAUGAAUAAUGAGGUAUCAACCGCAAAAGCAACAAAACCCAUAGUAAAUAAAUACUUAAGAUGUAAAGUGUUCAAACCAAGCGCGAGGGGCUUGUUUGAGGCCAUAAAGUCUUUUGUAGAGAAGACUCACAUGAUUUGGAUAUGUGUUAUCCUGAAAGCUAGAAGCAUGUAAACUGUUUCUUGGAGAAUAUCAUGUAGAAAUGCAUUUUUAAAAUCUAAGUGGGUCAAGGACUAACUGUAUUGAGCAGCAAGAGCAAGAAUAAUUCGUAUGGUGGGUUUCUUGACUACAAGACAAAAAGUUUAUUUAAAAUAAAAAAAUUAUACCUGAUGAUAACCUUUAGCAACUAGUCGCGCUUCACAACGAGCAAUAAAGCCAUUAAGAUUAUAUUUUAUGUGGAAAACCCAUUUAGAACGAACAUCAUUCAUAGAUGGAAGUCGAGGUACUAAGGACUAAGUACCCUGUGCUAGGAAAGUAUUGAUUCCUCACACAUUGCAGUUCGCCAUUCAAGAUACUUGAAGGCUUCAGUGUAUGAUGUGGGAGUCAGGAGAGCAGUUAUGAUAUGGAAUGCCUUUGGGUUUAAAAAUACUUUAUUUUGAUUGAGUUUUCAUAGCAUGAGUGUUGGUUGCAGCAACAUCUAUCUCAUUUCCUAUAUCGACUGUAGAUAAAACAUGUAAAGACUGACAAGUGGUAACAUCUAGUGUGAACAAGGAUUUUUUCACUUUCUAAAGAGACAAAUGCAACAACAAGCUUGUCAACGAGGGCUUUAAUGCGAGAGGUAUAUUGUUCAAUGGUUUCAGAAGGGUUUUUUUUUUAUGGAAUGAAGUGCAGAUCAUAAGUUAAGGAUGUUGGAUAUGGUAUUGGAGGAGUAUCUCGUUUUUCUAGAGAAAGCCACAAAUCUUUGGAGGAGACUAAGCCGACAACAUGGACAAGGGAAGAGGAUGACAAAGUAGCGUUUAUUAAAGAAAUGAGAGCUUGGUCACAAGAAAGCCCUUAGAGAUAAUUAGGAUUGAUUCCACAAGUGGUUCCAGCAGUUGGUGAUGGUAGAUGUUUUGGAGGAUAGGGAAGAUAAUCAUCAAUAUGACAAAAAGGGAAUGAGCUUUGAGUAUGAAGGAGACUUGAUACUCCUAGAGUAUAUAAUUACUAGUGUCGAAACGAAUAGGCACGAGAUUGCAAAUAAUGUUGGACAACAAGAAGAGAGUGGAGGUGGGAAGAGAUGGGUUUCCUUAAGGUAAGCAUUAGUGUGGAAAUGGAACAAGAUUAGGAACGGGAUGUGGCCAUUUGAAGAAGUAAGGUAUGUAAACAAAAUUAAUUUGAAGAUUCCUAUGAUACCAUUUAAAACUCUAAUUGACAAACGUAAUUUGUAUUUCUCAUUGAUAUGUAUGAUAGAACUAAGUCAUGCACAGCGGAAAAAGAAUCGAAUUUCUACCCUAAUUGCCACAAUUAACAUGUAACCAUAAACUAAUUAAAUUAGGGUUUUAGGAAAUAUUACCUUUGAAGCUUUCAAAAGGUUUGAUAUCUUCUUACCAAUUCUAACCGAGACCACCACUAGUACUCAACUGCUAUCCUCUAGACAAAGAACCGGGUUGUGGGACCCAAUUUUGGUGUAGAAAGUAAUGGAGAUAAAAUGAGAUUGGAAGGUUUUUUUUUUUUUUCUUUUGUUGAGAUGAUGAAAAUGAUAAAAGAGGCAAAAGUUCUUCAACAUUUGAAAACACCUCUAUUUAUAGCCUAAUUACAUGCAAAAAUGCAUGCAAUUCAUUUGCCAAAUCUCAACACCUAAUGUUCCACUAACAAUUAGUGGAACUUAGUGGGCUAGGUGUCUAUAUCUCAUAUAGCCACAUAUCCCACUAAGAGUUAGUGGGAUU